Cucumis sativus (cucumber) is the source of this 3052-nucleotide RNA transcript. It is a transcript of the gene named protein THYLAKOID ASSEMBLY 8-like, chloroplastic, with no coding region annotated. Lineage: Eukaryota; Viridiplantae; Streptophyta; Magnoliopsida; Cucurbitales; Cucurbitaceae. The record is from RefSeq and is a predicted model, not a curated record. The transcript is spliced from 6 exons.
UAGGAUAGACAGAAAAAUCGUGGAUGAAGAAUAGGGGCGGGAGGGACUUUCGCCGGAGAGGGAGACAGAUAACGAACGAUGAGUUUCUUAGCAACUCCUUCGUCGCCGACGAUUUUCAGUCCGCUACUCAAGUUUCCAAGCUCUGUCGGGACAGCAUGCUGCCUGCAACUAGGUAGGGCGGAGGGAUAUCCGAGAGUGACAAUGAGAGGCGGAAGUGAAAACCGGAAGCCACUGCAGAAGGGGAGGAACCUCAGCAUCGAAGCAAUUCAAGCCGUGCAAUCGUUGAAGCGAACGAAGAAAGAUUUACAACAGUUGGACCGAGUGUAUGAUUCCAAAAUUAGGCGCUUAUUGAAGUUUGAUAUGUUGGCUGUUCUUCGCGAGCUCCUCCGCCAGAACGAGUGUUCUUUGGCUCUUAAGGUUUUCGAAGAUGUUAGAAAAGAACACUGGUACAAGCCUCAGGUCUCGCUGUAUGCUGAUAUUAUUACAGUAUUGGCUAGCAAUGGAUUGUUCGAACGAGUACAAAUUAUUCUUUCGUACAUGAAAGCAGAGGCUGAUUUAGCACCUGAAAUUGACGGGUUUAACGCUCUUUUGAAGGCAUUGGUUAGUCAUAAUUUAGGUGAACUGGCGAUGGAGUCGUAUUAUUUGAUGAAGGAUGUAGGUUGUGAACCAGAUAAGGCUUCUUUCAGGAUUGUCAUAAAAGGAUUGGAAUCAAAGGGAGAGGCAGUUGAUUUAAGAACUGUGAAACAGGAUGCACAAAGGCUUUAUGGUGAAUCACUCGAGUUUUUGGAGGAAGAAGAAGAGGGAGCUACAGCCACAUCUAUACAAUGAGCUGCAGAAUCAGGAGUCAAAUCAUGGAAUGGAAGGCAUAUACAGAUGAAGUUCUGGCGAGAAAGAUGGAGUUCAUUAGCGUUUCCUUUGAAGAAACCUGAAAAGACUCAGAAACUUCCCCUAGAUAUGAGCUUUAACUGUACGCUGGCUUAAGUCAACCGAUGCUUGCAGAGAAUCUAUGUGAUAGCUUUUUGAGUCAUGGAAAAAUUAAUACUAGUGAUCUCAUGAAUGUUGGACGAAUUGUCUCAGUUUACUCUCCUCAUUCUUUUGCUCAGUUUCUUAAGCUGUUGGGAUCCAGAAAUUCCAAUGCCCUGCUUGGCAGUGUCACUGAUUCACUAGUCUGUGCAGAGAAAAGCUGAUCAUCUUGCAAGUUGCAACAUACUCCAGCUCCUAUAUGGUGAGCAUGAGACAAAUAAAAGGGGAAAUGCUAGACUAGAAGUCUUUAAUCCAAAGUGAAUGUUUCCAGGUGCAACGCUGUAGGAAGUAAGUGCUCUUCCACUGCUGGAGGUAACUUCAAAAGAGAGAGGUUGUCCGUGAAGAUUGACAUUGCUUUGCCAGUUCUGUCCCCAGUUCCUUGCCAAUGCAAAUGCUGCCUCUGACAUCUCAAAGUGCUCCUUGGGAAAAUUACACCACCCGCCAUAAUCGGAAGACAAGCCGUAAUUAGGAGGACAGAAGUCGGUGGCUGUUAGAAUGACAGUCGGGCUUCCUUGCAAGCACCACAAGAUGUGAUCAACACAUCUAAGCUCAUAGCAAGCUCCACAGUAGCAGAUAUCCAUUCUUCAUCCUUAGCCGCAAAGAUAUUAAAUGUUUGAAGAAGGACCAAAUAGUAGACUAUCAUAGCUACGAAACCAGCCAUUUCAGAAGAAUACAAGGCCUCGAAGAAGCCUGUGCUGUGUAUGAAUGAACUCAAAAUGAGCCCUUUGUUCACAUUGGUGGCGCUUUUAACGAUGCAAAAGACUAGUCUUCUUAUUUUGCCGAUAAUUGGGGGGACUGAAAGAAGCAAAUUUGGAGGGUUCCGUUUUAGCCAUUAUCAAUGUGGGAAGAGCUUGAGGCUUGAUGUCAAUGGCGGCAGAUGCAGAGAGGAAAUCCACCCAUAAGAAACAGGUAUGUGUGUUUUCUCUUUCUCUUUGUAUAUUAAAUUUAACUUUAAAGAGAUGCCUUGAAAUAAAAGAAUAGAAAGAGAAGGAAGGAUGGAAGCACUAAAUAAUGGUAUCAAGAAGGCAGAACACAGAAAGUGGGGUAUUUUGGUUUUUGAUUGUUGGAUUUUGGACCCAAAUGGAGUUCUAAAAGAAGAUGUUUUUUGGUUUUAGGGCUCAUCUUUUGAUGAGGAAAAAGGGUAGUGGAUGUUUCUUAAAAAACAAAUACAUAAUAAAAAGGAAAAAGAAAAGAAAAGAAAAGAAAAGAUUAUUAGUGGAUGGGUCCUUAGAGUUGGAACGUUCUCUGGGCGGGAAACGGUGCUGAAGGCUUAUCAUUAUUAAUUAUUACGGAAAAUAUUUUAAGUUACAAUAAUAUCACUUAAAAUAUUUCUAUAUAACAAAAUGGGGAAUUUACUAAAAUAGUAGAAAAUAGAAGGUUUUUUUAUAACAAACUGCAAAAUAUUUACGCUAGAAUAAUUUCAAAAAGGGAAAAAGUCCAACUCACUACGAAAAAUACAAAAAAAAGUCUUCAAUGAUACUUGGCGUACCAGUAUUACACAAGCGUGUACUCAAAUCUAAAAGAUCGUGUUUCAAUAUUUCAACGAUUUGUGUGAUAUUUGAUAUACGAUCUUAAAAAAUUAAAUAAUAAAGAAGAUUUAUGAUCGAUUGAAAUCAAUGAUCAUGAUUUCAAGAAAAUAUAAAAGAAAAAUUGUAGAAUAAUAAGAGAAUAAAGAAAAUGAAAAGGCGGCAAAGGGGAAAUCUCGAAUAUUUAAAAAAAAUGGAGGGGAUAUAUUACUUUUAUAUUCUUCAAAAAUACUCCUUAGCACACUCAAAUAUUCGCUCUAGGAAUCGUUUUCCUCGUUUAUUUUUUUGGCGACUUUAUCACCUUCUUCUUUUAUUUUUCUUAUAACCUUCUUUGUUUAUUUUCUUAUGUGAUUGUCCUUACUUGAUGAUCCUAGUGAUAAUAUCUUUUCACGUCAAAACUUCAGUUAUCUCAAUAUUUAUCAAAGUUAUUAUAUUGAAACUCUAUGUAUAUUUUUUCAUAUUAAAUUCUAUAGAAUUAUAUAUAGACUAUAUAUACACUGAAA